RNAcentral lists this ribosomal RNA (301 nucleotides) under uncultured bacterium. RNAcentral's name for it is "partial 16S ribosomal RNA". It matches the Rfam family "Bacterial small subunit ribosomal RNA", at positions 509 to 807 of the family's 1533-position model. The record is from RNAcentral.
CAGUAGCCGCGGUAAUACGAAGGGUGCAAGCGUUACUCGGAAUUACUGGGCGUAAAGCGUGCGUAGGUGGUGGUUUAAGUCCGUUGUGAAAGCCCUGGGCUCAACCUGGGAAUUGCAGUGGAUACUGGGUCACUAGAGUGUGGUAGAGGAUAGUGGAAUUUCCGGUGUAGCGGUGAAAUGCGUAGAUAUAGGAAGGAACAUCAGUGGCGAAGGCGACCACCUGGACUGAUACUGACACUGAGGUGCGAAAGCGUGGGGAGCAAACAGGAUUAGAUACCCCAGUAGUCCCUGUCUCUUAUAC